This 1082-nucleotide ribosomal RNA is filed under the name uncultured bacterium. RNAcentral describes it as "bacterial SSU rRNA". It matches the Rfam family "Bacterial small subunit ribosomal RNA", at positions 389 to 1466 of the family's 1533-position model. The record is from RNAcentral.
CAGCCAUGCCGCGUGUGUGAAGAAGGCCUUUUGGUUGUAAAGCACUUUAAGCAGUGAAGAAGACCUAACGGUUAAUACCCGUUAGCGAUGACAUUAGCUGCAGAAUAAGCACCGGCUAACUCUGUGCCAGCAGCCGCGGUAAUACAGAGGGUGCAAGCGUUAAUCGGAAUUACUGGGCGUAAAGCGAGCGUAGGUGGCUUGAUAAGUCAGAUGUGAAAUCCCCGGGCUUAACCUGGGAACUGCAUCUGAUACUGUUGGGCUAGAGUAGGUGAGAGGGAGGUAGAAUUUCAGGUGUAGCGGUGAAAUGCGUAGAGAUCUGAAGGAAUACCGAUGGCGAAGGCAGCCUCCUGGCAUCAUACUGACACUGAGGUUCGAAAGCGUGGGUAGCAAACAGGAUUAGAUACCCUGGUAGUCCACGCCGUAAACGAUGUCUACUAGUCGUUGGGGAACUUGAUUCCUUAGUGACGCAGCUAACGCAAUAAGUAGACCGCCUGGGGAGUACGGCCGCAAGGUUAAAACUCAAAUGAAUUGACGGGGGCCCGCACAAGCGGUGGAGCAUGUGGUUUAAUUCGAUGCAACGCGAAGAACCUUACCUGGUCUUGACAUAUCUAGAAUCCUGCAGAGAUGCGGGAGUGCCUUCGGGAAUUAGAAUACAGGUGCUGCAUGGCUGUCGUCAGCCCGUGUCGUGAGAUGUUGGGUUAAGUCCCGCAACGAGCGCAACCCUUUUCCUUAGUUACCAGCGGUUUGGCCGGGGACUCUAAGGAUACUGCCAGUGACAAACUGGAGGAAGGCGGGGACGACGUCAAGUCAUCAUGGCCCUUACGACCAGGGCUACACACGUGCUACAAUGGUAGGUACAGAGGGCAGCUACACAGCGAUGUGAUGCGAAUCUCAAAAAGCCUAUCGUAGUCCAGAUUGGAGUCUGCAACUCGACUCCAUGAAGUAGGAAUCGCUAGUAAUCGCGGAUCAGAAUGCCGCGGUGAAUACGUUCCCGGGCCUUGUACACACCGCCCGUCACACCAUGGGAGUUGAUUGCACCAGAAGUGGGUAGCCUAACUUUUAGAGGCGCUCACCACGGUGUG